GUGAGUUUGCUAGAGCUGCAUUUUCCAGGCGACGUUUGCAAUUGCAGGAAGGAAUUGUAUGAAUGAUGAUGGAUGGUAGAUGUGAGAAUGUGGGGGUACCAAUGUGGGGGUGUUUCUGAAUGGUAAUUUUUGUUGAACAUUGUGUUGUGAUGGGGCUACCAACCCUUAACUGUUUUGGAGUUUAAAUUGGAAGUGCCCUUCUGGUACGAGGCCUGACCGGAGGCUUUUAAUCUGGUACCACGGGUAACCAGGAGCCCACGGAACUUGUUCCGUCCUGGUUAGUUGGUGCGGCCCUUCGGGGAGUAUCGUGGUGGUUGUGGUUUAACACCCAAAUGCGGGUAGAGCAUCGCUCGACGUGGAGUUGCGUCAUACAACCGGGUUCCGUGACCCAGAUUACGGAAGAGGCUUAGAUAGUCCUCGUGCCAAACCAAGGUAGAAGUCACAACCAAACAGUCGUGUCUUUAAUUGGUACCUGCGGAAUUGUUCCAAGGGGGCGGUGAUUGACGCUUGAAUUAAUCCUAUACUAGGAACCGUGAGAUUAAGCCAUCGCGGCAGGUGCUCACGUUAAGCCCACUGACUUUCAUGUCCCUAUCUACUAUCUAGCGAAACCACAGCCAAGGGAACGGGCUUGGAAUAAUUAGCGGGGAAAGAAGACCCUUUUGAGCUUGACUCUAAUCUGGCAGUGUAAGGAGACAUAAGAGGUGUAGAAUAAGUGGGAGAUAUUAGACUUCGGUUUGGUAUCGACAAUGAAAUACCACUACUCUUAUUGUUUCCUUACUUACUUGAUUAAAUGGAACGUGUAUCAUUUCCUAGCCAUUAUACGGAUAUAAUUAUUAUGUCUUAUGGUAUUGGGUUUUGAUGCAAGCUUCUUGAUCAAAGUAUCACGAGUUUGUUAUAUAAUCGCAAACAAAUUCUUUAAUGAGAGAAUGCAUUUAUGUAUUAUUGAUUUAAAAAUUUGGUAUAACUCCAAUUACUCAGGUAUGAUCCAAUUCAAGGACAUUGCCAGGUAGGGAGUUUGACUGGGGCGGUACAUCUCUCAAAUAAUAACGGAGGUGUCCCAAGGCCAGCUCAGUGCGGACAGAAACCACACAUAGAGCAAAAGGGCAAAUGCUGACUUGAUCUCGGUGUUCAGUACACACAGGGACAGCAAAAGCUCGGCCUAUCGAUCCUUUUGGUUUAAAGAG
Non-coding RNA from Drosophila virilis, 1184 nucleotides. The record is from Rfam. Lineage: Eukaryota; Metazoa; Arthropoda; Insecta; Diptera; Drosophilidae.